GAUGAACGCUGGCGGCGUGCCUAAUACAUGCAAGUCGAGCGAACAGACGAGGAGCUUGCUCCUCUGACGUUAGCGGCGGACGGGUGAGUAACACGUGGAUAACCUACCUAUAAGACUGGGAUAAUUUCGGGAAACCGGAGCUAAUACCGGAUAAUAUAUUGAACCGCAUGGUUCAAUAGUGAAAGACGGUUUUGCUGUCACUUAUAGAUGGACCCGCGCCGCAUUAGCUAGUUGGUAAGGUAACGGCUUACCAAGGCAACGAUGCGUAGCCGACCUGAGAGGGUGAUCGGCCACACUGGAACUGAGACACGGUCCAGACUCCUACGGGAGGCAGCAGUAGGGAAUCUUCCGCAAUGGGCGAAAGCCUGACGGAGCAACGCCGCGUGAGUGAUGAAGGUCUUCGGAUCGUAAAACUCUGUUAUUAGGGAAGAACAAAUGUGUAAGUAACUAUGCACGUCUUGACGGUACCUAAUCAGAAAGCCACGGCUAACUACGUG
RNAcentral lists this ribosomal RNA (497 nucleotides) under uncultured bacterium. Its description in RNAcentral is "partial 16S ribosomal RNA". It matches the Rfam family "Bacterial small subunit ribosomal RNA", at positions 28 to 507 of the family's 1533-position model. The record is from RNAcentral.